RNAcentral lists this unclassified non-coding RNA (3171 nucleotides) under Hevea brasiliensis (rubber tree). The record is from RNAcentral. Lineage: Eukaryota; Viridiplantae; Streptophyta; Magnoliopsida; Malpighiales; Euphorbiaceae.
GUCAGAAUCAGAAAAGCUUUAGGUUUGUGUUAGAUGGAAGAAAUUUCCAAGUUACCAUUGCCAGAAGCUUUCCUAAAUUUCCUCCAAGCAAAUGGGCUUGACACUUCUAUUUAUACUACCAGCGAUACUACCCCUCGCUAUAUAAGGUUGCAGCCUGGGAGUGAAGAUGAUCUUCAAGAGAUUGAGGCAGAGAUAAACUGUAAGCUUCAGAGAGUUGUUUGGUUACCUGGUUUUUAUUCUCUUCUACCUCACCUUCAGAUUGCUAAUUCAAGGGCAUACAAGGAAGGAAAGAUUUACGGAAUUGAUGCGGCUUCUGGGGCUGCUGUUUUAGCGUUAAAUAUCUCAAGAGGAGAUCAUGUUCUGGAUCUCUGCGCUGCUCCUGGUAAGUGAUCUGUGGUUCCUCUUACAGUCAAUAGCUCCGGUAGAUUUAAUCAUGACCCUUUGUUGGUUCAAAAAAUUGAUCACUCCGCUAAACCCCACUCUAGCAUGAAAUGAAUUCUAUUUCUGUUUUCAUACGAGAACUCAUUUUGAUAUUGAAUGUUGCAUGAGUGCUGAAUGGGACUCGCUUUUGUGUUUCAAUACUAGCGCUUGGUUUUUCCAUGAACAAUCUUUGUUACCUGGCCUAUCUGGGACUGUUUUGCUAGAGCAUGAAGAUAUAAAGUUGGCUUGGUUCUGAGCUUAGGAAAAGGCAGAGCAAGCAAGCACUCAUUUUAAAAAGUUUUAAAUGCUGAAGAGUGUUUUGGAAGGAGCUAAGCAAUGGUACUUUCUGACCACAUUCAUGUCAAAUGCGCAUCUCCACUCAAAACUAAGAACAGAGGGAAUGCCUUACUCUAGAAAUAUCUAAUUGCAAGUGGAUAGUUUUUCAGAAUUGAAUCUCUAAGCUACUUUUUUAUAUCAUGAUUUUGGAAUGCUUAUACAUCAGAUUAUCUUAUGAAAUGCUUGCCAAGCUUACUUGUAAUACGUUCUUGAUCUUCAGGUGCUAAACUUUGCAUGAUAUCCGACCUUCUUGGUGAUUCAGGAUCUGUAACAGGGGUUGAUAUUGCAAGGCAUCGCCUAGCUGCUUGUAGAACAAUGCUGCAGAAAUAUGCACUAGGUGAUAGAUGCCGACUGUUUGUUGCUGAUGGAACAACAUUUUCCCUUAUUCCCGUGACAGAACAUUCAAAUUCUAGAUCAUGUGAAUCUGGAUGUCAAGAAAAGGAAGACACAUUUAAGGAGUGGACGUCAAGGAGACCAUGGAAAGAAAGGAAAAAAGCAAGUAAAGCAACGAAACAUGCUGCUUCAGCAUUUGUUGCAGAAAGUGAUCGUCCCGAACUAAUUUUUUAUGGGCGGAAUUCCGGGGUACUUGGGAUUAGCAAAAGUGAAUUAUAUCAAAUUGUGUGUAGUAGUGAAGUUUUGAGCUGUGGCUAUGAUAAGGUUCUUGUGGAUGCAGAGUGCACUCAUGAUGGGUCAAUUAGACAUAUCCAAAAAUUUGAGCAUUGGGGAUGGGAUACCCUUCAUCAACGUGUAUUGAAUGCAGAGAGAACUGAUAGUUUGACCAAUCUUCAGGUUACUUAUCUAUUGUUAAUCACAUAAUAACCAUUUUCCAUUUGUGUUGUUCGUAAUUCUAAUUCUCAGUGAGCUAAUGGCACAAUUAGAUAGUUAGUAUUAUGGAUUAAGAACUGAAAGUUAUGUAACUCCAUAGCUAAUAUAAUGGAACAUUCAUCUAUUACUUAAUGAAGCUAGUUUAAUGGAAGAUUCACCUAUUACAUAAUGCUUUAUGUGUUUUAAUUAUCUUUAUCUUGGAUUCCUCUAAACAUCUAUUAGGUGCUGAACCACUAUUGGAACAUUUCAGUGCAGUUCUUCCCUAUGCAUUUUGGGACUGAACCUUCUGUUGUACUUUCAUAGUAACAUUCCAUUUCAAUUCUUCCCUAUGCAUCUGCAUCUAGGGUAUCGAAGUUUAUGCUUUAUGGUUUUUUGUCCAAAGCAUAUUCUCAACCUUGUGGGUGAUUUAUCUUUUUCUUUCACAUUAGAUAUAUUUGUCUUCUGUUGCAGUUCAAACUUCUAACAAAUGGUUUUAAGCUGCUAAGACUUGGUGGUUUGCUUGUCUACAGCACUUGCAGGUGUGUUCCAUAUUCAAAUCCAUUUUUUGCAAAAAAUAGUCACAGUUUUAUUAACUUUAUAUGCAUUUACCUUUUUCAUCAUCAGUUUAACAGUUUCUCAGAAUGAAGAUGUGGUAGAAAGAUUUCUCAAGGAAAAUGCUUCUGCUGGUAGGAUUCUCCAUUCUCUAAAGAUGAUGAAUCAUGAUCUCAAUAUUAAUUUGUUGAGCUUUCCAAUUUUUUAAGAUAGAAUGAUCAAAUUUAAAAUGGUUUCCCUUCCCAGCAUAUUAUUCUACCAAUUGUAGUUCCAUGAAAGAAAAUUGCAUUCAUCUUAAGCCAUAACCCUUUUUUUUUGGGGGUCGGUGGUGGUUGUGGGGGAGAACCAAAGUCUCAAAUCUCUUAUCCUUCAUUUUGAGAGAAGUACUAGAAUAACCCUGAUGUCAUGCCAAGUUUUUUUAUCUCUUAUUGUCACCAUGGGGAAUUUCUUUAUAUCUGCAGUCCCUAAAGUCUAAAGACCUUGUCUUUUUAAAGUUUUUAUUACAACAAAAAAGAGCCUCAUGGAGUUGCCAUAUAAUGAUGCUUCCAUUAAUCGUACAGAGUUGCAGGAGAUAGAAGCUGCUAAAGAUUGGCCAUGUAAAAGUGGGGGGAUACUCAAGACCUUGCGCUUUGACCCUGUAACUUCACAAACCAGUGGACUUUUUGUUGCGAAGUUCACAAAACUAGCCUUGUAAUUGAGAUUCUUCUGGUUGAUGUUCACCCUAUGAUCCUGUGAAGAAAUUGAUUUUCUGUCAGAACCCUGUCGAAGUAUUUGGCUUGGGUGAUGGAAUUAAUUGGUAUUAUUUGCUAUCAUUGGAGAAAAUGGCGACGCGUAUUAUUUUGGUUUCAUGCUGUGUUGGUUAAUGCUUCAUUCAGGCGUGAGCAGGCGAGCAGCCCAUCGAGCCAUCAUUCUUUAGAGAACCUACUCGGGUCAAGUUGGAUUACAGUGCAAGGGCAAAAAUAGAAGGAUCAAGAUUGUCUAAUUUUGGUUGCUCAAUCUUAUGUAAGGCUGGGAGACAUUGAUUUUAUGAUGGAACAAGCUAAUUAGUCUUGGUUUGCA